UAAUACAGAGGGUGCGAGCGUUAAUCGGAAUUACUGGGCGUAAAGGGCGCGUAGGCGGUUAUAUAAGUUAGAUGUGAAAUCCCCGGGCUUAACCUGGGAAUGGCAUUUAAUACUGUAUGACUAGAGUAGAGUAGAGGGAAGUGGAAUUUCCGGUGUAGCGGUGAAAUGCGUAGAUAUCGGAAAGAACACCAGUGGCGAAGGCGGCUUCCUGGACUCAUACUGACGUUGAGGCGCGAAAGCGUGGGUAGCAAACAGGAUUAGAUACCCUGGUAGUCCAUGCUGUAAACGAUGAAGACUGGAUGUUGGAGGGUUAAACUCUUCAGUAUCGAAGCUAACGCGAUAAGUCUUCCGCCUGGGGAGUACGGCCGCAAGGCUA
This 376-nucleotide ribosomal RNA is filed under the name uncultured bacterium. Its description in RNAcentral is "bacterial SSU rRNA". It matches the Rfam family "Bacterial small subunit ribosomal RNA", at positions 521 to 896 of the family's 1533-position model. The record is from RNAcentral.